UGUUUAAUUAGUUCUCAUCUUGUAUAGUCUUAGGGGAAUUAAAUCAAUGUAUAGUAGCUUUUAUUGGCAUGUGGUACAAAUUUGUACAGGCCAGGUUUAAUUUUACAAUGAAAACAACAAAAAAAAAAAAAAAAAAAAACCCAAACCAAACAACAAAAAUACUACAGACACAAAUAGAACAGGAAGUUGAAAACAAAGUACUAAUCUCAGAGAACUUUUAUGUACUGAACAUGCUGAAAGUGAGAUCAAAACCAAUAAAAAGAAAUUAUGUAUCUUAAUUAAGACUUAAAAAUCAAUCAGUUCACAUCCAAUGGAUUUAGUUUGAAAAUGUU
RNAcentral lists this long non-coding RNA (332 nucleotides) under Mytilus galloprovincialis (Mediterranean mussel). Lineage: Eukaryota; Metazoa; Mollusca; Bivalvia; Mytilida; Mytilidae. The record is from RNAcentral.